UGUUGACCUUGGUCAUUAAAAAUAUUUUUCAGAUUUCAAAGAAAUGCUGUACAUUGGAUAUACACAUGCUAGGUUUGAAGACUUAUGUAUAACUUGACAGGACCUGAUGUAAGCACAUUGGCCACUUUUGAUGGGUGUUGCAGAAUAUCCGGAAUGCGACAUAGUGGCGCCUGUUAGAAAAAAGGGAACUUCAAAGUUUUAAAUGACUUAAGAGUGGUGAAAAUGCAUCCAUAUAAUUGAUUUCAAAGAAAUGCUGUACAUUGGAUAUACACAUGCCAGGUUUGAAGACUUAUGUAUAACUUGACAGGACCUGAUGUAAGCACAUUGGCCACUUUUGAUGGGUGUUGCAGAAUAUCCGGAAUGCGACAUAGUGGCGCCUGUUAGAAAAAAGGGAACUUCAAAGUUUUAAAUGACUUAAGAGUGGUGAAAAUGCAUCCAUAUAAUUGAUUUCAAAGAAAUGCUGUACAUUGGAUAUACACAUGCCAGGUUUGAAGACUUAUGUAUAACUUGACAGGACCUGAUGUAAGCACAUUGGCCACUUUUGAUGGGUGUUGCAGAUUUCAAAGAAAUGCUGUACAUUGGAUAUACACAUGCCAGGUUUGAAGACUUAUGUAUAACUUGACAGGACCUGAUGUAAGCACAUUGGCCACUUUUGAUGGGUGUUGCAGAUUUCAAAGAAAUGCUGUACAUUGGCUAUACACAUGCCAGGUUUGAAGACUUAUGUAUAACUUGACAGGACCUGAUAAUAUCCGGAUUGCGGCAUAACGGCGCUUGUCAGAAAAAAGGGAAUUUCAAAGUUUUAAAUGACUUAAGAGUGGUGAAAAUGCAUCCAUAUAAUUGAUUUCAAAGAAAUGCUGUACAUUGGCUAUACACAUGCCAGGUUUGAAGACUUAUGUAUAACUUGACAGGACCUGAUGUAAGCACAUUGGCCACUUUUGAUGGGUGUUGCAGAAUAUCCGGAUUGCGGCAUAACGGCGCUUGUUAGAAAAAAGGGAAUUUCAAAGUUUUAAAUGACUUAAGAGUGGUGAAAAUGUAUCCAUUUAAUUGAUUUCAAAGAAAUGCUGUACAUUGGCUAUACACAUGCCAGGUUUGAAGACUUAUGUAUAACUUGACAGGACCUGAUGUAAGCACAUUGGCCACUUUUGAUGGGUGUUGCAGAAUAUCCGGAUUGCGGCAUAACGGCGCUUGUCAGAAAAAAGGGAAUUUCAAAGUUUUAAAUGACUUAAGAGUGGUGAAAAUGCAUCCAUAUAAUUGGUAAUUGUAUAUGCAACUU
Molecule: long non-coding RNA, 1273 nt
Organism: Ruditapes philippinarum (Manila clam)
Lineage: Eukaryota; Metazoa; Mollusca; Bivalvia; Venerida; Veneridae
Exons: 12
Source: RefSeq, a predicted model, not a curated record